UAUAAUGGAUACUAGUUCGGUACUAAGUGUCCACUUUAAAUAUACUUAAUCCUAAGAAAAGACAUUUGAUAAUUAUAUAUUGGUACCUGUACCUUUACAUAUUUCAGAACUUGAUGCUAUUUUAUUUGGGUAGAUAUCCAAUGGACAAAUGUCCUCGUGGGUUCUAAACUAAACUAGCAGGGUAUGUCCCAGUACCGGCCAUUCUCGUUAUCGCCUGUAGAUAUGUCUUGCAGACAUGCAACAAAGCUAAAACUAAUAAGCUGAGGAUCUAGAUGCCCUGAUGCAGCCUGUUGCCUGAAAAAUGAUAUUACAAAAUCAACAAACUGAACUCCUGAUAACUCCUGGAACAAAUCAUGCAGAACAUCUGGACCUUUGCCACAUACCAUACUUGCUGUACUAAACUGUGCUACUUCAUGGGAAUACAUACAUAUGCCAUUCAAGAGCAUACAAUGCCAAUAUGUUGAAGCCAAUCAACAUAUCUCCAUGAACUGUAUAAAUAAUUAUCAACCAUUACCUGCUGGUAUUGUGUAUACAUGGCACCACAGGACCACAGCAACAUCUAAGCUACCUUUGCAUAAACAAAUAAUGCGUUUCACAAAGGAAACAACCUUCCCAGAGUUGGAAGAACAGGCAGACCUACCAUUCUUUCUGAGACAUUCUUUGUGAUGGAGUCAUAGAACAUGGGGCCAAAACAAGUGCAAAUGUAGUCAGCACACACAGUAUCACACUUUGGAUUUAAGGUUAGUGAGGGAGGAAGCAGAAGUAAUGGAAUGCUUUACUUUUGAUAUAUGAGGCAGUGUUUUUGCUCAUCCUUUUGGUAGUCAAUCCAUAUGUGUCCCACAGCUCAUAAGUGUACACAAGGGAAUUUCUUGUUCUGCACACCCAGUCUCAAACUGUAACACAUUCUCAAUUUUACAAAUUCCUGUAGCUCAACCAAUUGCCAUAACAUAACAAAACCUGAAAUUAAUGAAUGUUCUGUCCCAGGAGAAGAUGCAUGGAAUACCACUUCGCUGCCUACAAGUAGUAUGUCCUAUCUCAUUACUCUGCAUAGGUUUCCAUGGUGUUUAGAUUCUUUUGGCACAAUAUUUUUGAAUUAGGAGUUUCUGUUACUUAAUCUAAUGAUGGCCUGUUUGUUUCAAGUCUGUGCUUGUAGCAAGAUUAUCUGAAAUUUGUGUUAUUUAUCCUAUCCUGUAUAGUUUGCCAAAUGAAGGUUUAACCAUCUAGAUUUCGGUAAGGGCAUGUUUGCCUGACUGGCAAGCCUGCAUUUUCAUGGUGUACAUUGACUAAUUGAUUCUCCAUUAGUGAGAAAACAAAGGUGGAAUUGAGUGAAUUCAUAUACCCCUCUAAUAUUUUUUUUGUUUGUGAUUAUUUCUGAUUUUGAUUUAUAUUGUUUGAUAUAUGUACAUCUGAGGUGUACAUUUGUACUUCUAGAAUUUUUGUGAAUGUUUCUGUGAUUGUACCUUGUCCCUCUGUGAUAACAGGCACUAAGGUCAGGAGGUAAUAACAUUCUUGGAGCUGCCCUCCUUUGUCUCCUCUCAUCUUAAGUUUGAUUACACUUCGAAUUGAAGUUUCUCCAUGCAUGAAAAUAUGAGGGUCAACACAGUCUCCUGACUCUUAACUGCCAAAUUUCUAACAGCUGUCUCCAUGAGAACUGCUACACUUAAAGGGGUGAAAGUGUGAUAACCAAUAAAUAAAUGAAUAAAAUAUUAAAUAAUGUAAAAUGCUAAAAUUGUAUAAUUUCAAAAAUUAUACAAUUAUAUUUAGAUAAAUAAAUUAUAUAAAUUAAAUGGAAGUAUUUUACAAUUACUGAGUCUUGGGCUCUGAGGCUUAUGUCCUUGCCUGUCACAGCAUGUCAUUGUUUGAAGCAGUUCUGAGUGGAUGUAGGGCACAAUGGCAUAUUACAUUUUGUGCAGUAAUUUUGUUUUCUGUUUAGGGUCCAAGCACAUAGUGCUUGAAAUUGUAUUGCAAUUUAAUUUUGCCCUUGUUGCAUAUGUGGAGAAGUAGUCUGGCAUGCGCAAGCCUUCACAGGCUGGCUGAGGUGUAUCUGAAGCAGAAGUAAACUCUUCUGUGAAGGUGCCAAUUCUAUCUGCAGAAUAAAACUAUUUACAAUG
Long non-coding RNA from Electrophorus electricus (electric eel), 2111 nucleotides. RefSeq lists it as uncharacterized. Lineage: Eukaryota; Metazoa; Chordata; Actinopteri; Gymnotiformes; Gymnotidae. The record is from RefSeq and is a predicted model, not a curated record.